Long non-coding RNA from Carassius gibelio (silver crucian carp), 1077 nucleotides. RefSeq lists it as uncharacterized. Lineage: Eukaryota; Metazoa; Chordata; Actinopteri; Cypriniformes; Cyprinidae. The transcript has 4 exons. The record is from RefSeq and is a predicted model, not a curated record.
CAACCCGUUCUCAUCAGUCUGCGUAUAAAUAACACGACUUUACACUUUCUAUUUGCGUGUAAUGCAUACGCCAAAUGCCAUUUUUGCGUGCAUAUGAUACGCCAAUCCUUCCCAUUAAUUUCGGUGGAGAGCAGAUGCGUCCAAAUAACACGCAUCAUCUUCAGCGGCAGUGACGUCACUAGCGAGGCUCGUUCAGUUCACCUGAUGCGCGUACACCUUCAAACAGGUAAGCAAGGAAUUAACAGGGAACUUCAACUCCACGCUCCCAAUGCUGAUAUUGAAGAAGCUGUCAAGGGGGCUGAACAAGUCCUUCAAAGGAUCAACCCUUCACAGGAAGGCCUGUCAUGAGAUUUGAAUUUGACCAUCUUGUGCAUUUAUGAAGAAGACCAAAAGCUGCAAAGGCAAACACUUCCAAUGGAUUUCUCACAGAUUACUUAAUCAUUCUUCAUCAGCUCUUCACAAUAUCAGCCCAUUCAAAAGCUUCCAGAUCUUCCUCUCUUGUGUGACACAUCUGCUCUCAGUCCUUUACUGCCAACCUCCAGUCUUAGCAUUUCUGCUUGUAUUAAUUUUUCCUCUACAUUCAUCACUCCAAUCUCUACUAUAAGCACUCCUGUAUAUAUAUAUAUACACAUAAUAAUAAUAAUAAUUAUUAUUAACCAUUUAUUUGUUUUGCAUUUAUUCACAAUAGAAGCAAACAAUGAUUACAGGAUAUAUGUUUUUAAAGGUGAUAAUUGUAAAAUAUUGGAGCAUUGUUCUUAAUCAUUUUUGCCUAUUUGGUUGAUAAAGGGAAGAAAACAAUAUAUUUUCAACUGUAGCAUUGAUUAUUCUUUGGCAUCUUUUGUCAGGAUUUCUGUAAACAAAUUCCCUUUUUAUUUUUGAAUAUUAAACUUAUGUUUUUUGAAGGGAGUUUCUGUUGCAAUUUUGUUUGUUUGUUUUCACUUAGUUACCUCUAUGCAUUUUUUUUUUUAUCAACUUUUCUUUUUUUUCAUAGUGGAAUAAACUGGAGAGAGACUGUUCUGGGCACUAUGUUUAUCUGCGAAAAUUUUGACAUAUCAAUAAACACUGUAAAAUGACUAG